This 334-nucleotide transfer-messenger RNA is filed under the name Spirochaetia bacterium. It matches the Rfam family "transfer-messenger RNA". From Rfam's summary of the family: Bacterial tmRNA, also known as 10Sa RNA or SsrA, is named for its dual tRNA and mRNA-like properties. Its role is to liberate the mRNA from a stalled ribosome. To accomplish this part of the tmRNA is used as a reading frame that ends in a translation stop signal. The record is from RNAcentral. Lineage: Bacteria; Pseudomonadati; Spirochaetota; Spirochaetia.
GGGGAUGUAAGGGUUUCGACAGUAGAAAGGGUAAUAGGUGAGCAUGUCGACGCAAUACGCACAUUGCAAUAACUGCUGAAGACAAUUUAGCACUCGCUGCCUAAUUUUUAGGUAGCCGGGCUUCGGGUUGAGGGCACUGCACCCCGCGGUUUGUAAUAAAUGUGUGUCUGGGCUCGUCUCUUGACCUUCAGGGGCGUACCGAGACAAUGAGGGUCUGGUCUCAAGGGGGUUGGUUUCUGACCGACUUGAGUCGACAACAAUCAGAAAACUAAGCAUGUAGCGCGCCCAUUUGACAGUCUAUUGGACGCGGGUUCAACUCCCGCCAUCUCCAGAU